AUUGAACGCUGGCGGCAUGCCUUACACAUGCAAGUCGAACGGCAGCACGGGUGCUUGCACCUGGUGGCGAGUGGCGAACGGGUGAGUAAUACAUCGGAACGUACCUUAUCGUGGGGGAUAACGCAGCGAAAGCUGUGCUAAUACCGCAUACGCCCUGAGGGGGAAAGCGGGGGAUCGCAAGACCUCGCGCGAUUAGAGCGGCCGAUGCCUGAUUAGCUUGUUGGUGGGGUAAAAGCCCACCAAGGCGACGAUCAGUAGCUGGUCUGAGAGGACAUUCAGCCACACGGGGACUGAGACACGGCCCAGACUCCUACGGGAGGCAGCAGUGGGGAAUUUUGGACAAUGGGGGCAACCCUGAUCCAGCAAUGCCGCGUGAGUGAAGAAGGCCUUCGGGUUGUAAAGCUCUUUUGUCAGGGAAGAAACACCGGCUCUAACACAGUCCGGGAAUGACGGUACCUGAAGAAUAAGCACCGGCUAACUACGUGCCAGCAGCCGCCGUAA
RNAcentral lists this ribosomal RNA (501 nucleotides) under uncultured bacterium. Its description in RNAcentral is "partial 16S ribosomal RNA". It matches the Rfam family "Bacterial small subunit ribosomal RNA", at positions 29 to 523 of the family's 1533-position model. The record is from RNAcentral.